ACAGAUUGACGAAUCGAAACGAAGAAGAACAAAACAAAUGUUUGCAGAGGAGAAAAGAAAAUAUUAGAAACGGGAAAAACAGAAGAAAUUAACGUCAGUUUUUUUUAGAGAGAGAAAAACAAAUUUUGAAAAAAUAAAAAUACAAACAAACCCUGAUAACUCCCAAUAUCCUAACUCCCCACUAUCCUCUCAUCCUCAACCACCCCCACUCACACAAACUCUCAAUCCCAUCCAAACUUUCUCACUCAAUCGAGGCAAAAAUUAACCUCCACACUUGUACAAAGAAUCGAACAUAAGACCCCCAACACACUAACUUCUUAC
Molecule: long non-coding RNA, 321 nt
Filed under: Gossypium raimondii (Peruvian cotton)
Lineage: Eukaryota; Viridiplantae; Streptophyta; Magnoliopsida; Malvales; Malvaceae
Description: long non-coding RNA (GRAI_LNC001364)
Source: RNAcentral